GUUUUUAUAGUUUAAUUAAAACAUUAGUUUUGUAAACUAAAUUUAGAUUAUUUAAUCUUAAAAACA
Molecule: transfer RNA, 66 nt
Filed under: Empoasca flavescens
Lineage: Eukaryota; Metazoa; Arthropoda; Insecta; Hemiptera; Cicadellidae
Description: tRNA-Thr
Rfam family: tRNA
About the family: Transfer RNA (tRNA) molecules are approximately 80 nucleotides in length. Their secondary structure includes four short double-helical elements and three loops (D, anti-codon, and T loops).
Source: RNAcentral